GUGGGGAAUAUUGCGCAAUGGGGGAAACCCUGACGCAGCGACGCCGUGUGAGGGAAGAAGGCUUUCGGGUCGUAAACCUCUGUCAGAAAGGAAGAACCUCCCAUAUCCGAAUAGGGUGUGGGACUGACGGUACUUUCAAAGGAAGCACCGGCUAACUCCGUGCCAGCAGCCGCGGUAAUACGGAGGGUGCUAGCGUUAAUCGGAAUCACUGGGCGUAAAGCGCGCGUAGGCCGCUUCUUAAGUCGGACGUGAAAGCCCUCGGCUCAACCGGGGAACUGCGUUCGAUACUGCGAGGCUUGAGUCCUGGAGAGGGUGGCGGAAUUCCGGGUGUAGGAGUGAAAUCCGUAGAUAUCCGGAGGAACACCGGUGGCGAAGGCGGCCACCUGGACAGGUACUGACGCUGAGGCGCGAAAGCGUGGGGAGCAAACAGGAUUAGAAACCCGUGUAGUCC
RNAcentral lists this ribosomal RNA (451 nucleotides) under uncultured bacterium. RNAcentral's name for it is "partial 16S ribosomal RNA". It matches the Rfam family "Bacterial small subunit ribosomal RNA", at positions 354 to 796 of the family's 1533-position model. The record is from RNAcentral.